This 403-nucleotide unclassified non-coding RNA is filed under the name soil metagenome. RNAcentral describes it as "partial contains 5.8S ribosomal RNA, internal transcribed spacer 2, and large subunit ribosomal RNA". The stretch from base 1 to 122 matches the Rfam family "5.8S ribosomal RNA", at positions 35 to 154 of the family's 154-position model. The record is from RNAcentral.
GAUGAAGAACGCAGCAAAAUGCGAUACUUGGUGUGAAUUGCAGAAUCCCGUGAACCAUCGAGUUUUUGAACGCAAGUUGCGCCCGAAGCCUUUUGGCCGAGGGCACGUCUGCCUGGGCGUCACGCAUCGCGUCGCCCCCCACAAUUCUCCGUAAAGGGAACAUGUGUUUUGGGGGCGGAUAUUGGUCUCCCGUGCUCAUGGCGUGGUUGGCCGAAAUAGGAGUCCUUUCGAUGGACGCACGAACUAGUGGUGGUCGUAAAAACCCUCGUCUUUUGUUUCGUGCUGUUGCUCGCAAGGUAAACUCUUUAAAAACCCCAAUGUGUCGUCUCUUGACGACGCUUCGACCGCGACCCCAGGUCAGGCGGGACUACCCGCUGAGUUUAAGCAUAUCAAUAAGCGGAGA